Rhopalosiphum padi (bird cherry-oat aphid) is the source of this 589-nucleotide long non-coding RNA. RefSeq lists it as uncharacterized. The transcript has 4 exons. The record is from RefSeq and is a predicted model, not a curated record. Lineage: Eukaryota; Metazoa; Arthropoda; Insecta; Hemiptera; Aphididae.
UUAAAGUAGAACCAAUUGAUAAAAAUUCAGCAGUGAUUGUUAUAUACAUAGAUAUAAUUUAACAGUAUACUAUGGAGACUAUAUCAAACCACAACCUAUAUAGAACAAAAUUAUGAGCAGUCAUCAAAAUCAUUUAUUAUUACUGUUCUUAUUCCUGCGGUAAGUCACAUUGAAACACCAGCUGGAAUAAAACUGAUACCUAUAAAAGAUGGCAAACCAUUGGUUAAAUUCACUUCAGAAAUGAAUUCUUCUCAACGACAAGCAGUAAUUAUGGCUAAGAUGAACGAUUUGCGGAAUAAAUAUUAUGCAAUUCAAAUAUGGAAAAAAAAAAUUAUGAAGCAAAAAAAGAAAAUGUCGAAUACUGCUACUAAAAAUAAAACUGUAGUGAUUACAAUUUUUGAGAAGAAAAAUUGAGUCUAAAAAAAUCCUAUUUACAGUAAAUGAAUAUUUUUUAGAUGUUUUUAUAAAGUUUUUAUUACAGUUUCAGGACAUCUUUUAAAUGUUUUAAAAAUAUUUUUGAUUUUAAGAAGAAUGCAUUUAUAUAACAACUAUUAAUAACUUGGCAUAUAUGUAUACUUUCUAUACAGCA